AAAGUUGAGUUUUUUUCGGAUGACUUGGAUUUUAUGAAAUAAAAUAGGGUUUAUGUUUUGAGUGAUUUCGAGAGUUUUGUUGUAGAUCUAUGAGUGAAUUUUUUUGGAUUCAUGGUUAUAGUUGUGUUGAAUACAUUUUGUGAAUUUGAGCUUGAUCUAACUAUUGAACUGAGAGAUAUUGAGGUUUAAGUGAGUCAAGGUCUGAGAAAGUAGAAUUUUAGGUCUAGUGAGGAUUUUUAAGAUUUCUUGCAAUCUACUAAUUGGAUUGGAGUAAAACUUGUGUAAGAGGAUAUGAGACUUGUUUUCCUAUGUCCAUGAGAAAUUUGAAACCAAUCGAAUGGCGCAAAGAAGAGAAAUUGACUCUGGAAGGUUGGCAACAAGAUUGGAGAUGUAGGCCCGCUAACAUCCGAACACAUUUUUGAGGUUUUCGUCAAUUUGGUAACUCCGAUCCUUUUCAAAUUUUUUUUUUUUGUUUUGAACUUGAUUUUUAAGAAGUGUGCAAAUUUUGAAUUGAGAUCAAUGGUUUAUUCAUUAGAUAUUGAGGUUUAAAUCUGUCAUAGGAAUUACUAGGAUUUGGAUUAGGGUUUGGCUAGGGUUCGGUUUAGGGUUUGGAUUAGGAUUUGGAUUAGGGUUUGGCUAGGGUUCGGUUUAGGGUUUGGAUUAGGGAUUGGAUUAGGGUUUGGAUUAGGAUUUAGGAUUUGGAUUAGGAUUUAGGAUUUGGUUAGGGUUUGAUUUAGGAUUUGGAUUAGAGUUUGGACUAGGGUUUAGUUAGGGUUUGAUUUAAGAUUUGGUUUAGGGUUUAGGAUUUGGAUUAGAGUUUAGGGUUGGAUUAGAGUUUGGAUUAGGAUUUGGAUUAGGAUUUAAUUUAGGAUUUGAUUUAGGAUUUAGGAUUUGGAAUAGGGUUUAAUUUAAGAUUUGUUUAGGGUUUGACUAAGGGUUUAGGAAUUAUUAGGGUUUAAGAUUUAAUUAGGUUUGGUCUAAAGUUGAGUGAAAUUCAAUAGGAUUUUAACUAGAAUUAAAUUAAGGUUGAAUUGAGAUAUAUUUGAGUAAAAUUUGUGAUCAUUCUAAUAUUUCUUUAAGAAUUUUAUUUUUUGUUUGAAAUUUCUUUGAAUUGUUUUGAAUUUGAUUACGUUUGUUUACCAUUAUUAUAGUCUAAUUAGAGCAUUGUUAGUAUUCUAUUUAGGAUUUUGUUAUCGCAAUUUCUAUUCUUCUU
This 1213-nucleotide long non-coding RNA is filed under the name Physcomitrium patens. Its description in RNAcentral is "long non-coding RNA (PPAT_LNC012908)". The record is from RNAcentral. Lineage: Eukaryota; Viridiplantae; Streptophyta; Bryopsida; Funariales; Funariaceae.